RNAcentral lists this ribosomal RNA (301 nucleotides) under uncultured bacterium. RNAcentral describes it as "partial 16S ribosomal RNA". It matches the Rfam family "Bacterial small subunit ribosomal RNA", at positions 509 to 807 of the family's 1533-position model. The record is from RNAcentral.
CAGCAGCCGCGGGAAUACGGAGGGCGCGAGCGUUACCCGGAUUUACUGGGCGUAAAGGGCGUGUAGGCGGCCUGGGGCGUCCCAUGUGAAAGGCCACGGCUCAACCGUGGAGGAGCGUGGGAUACGCUCAGGCUAGAGGGUGGGAGAGGGUGGUGGAAUUCCCGGAGUAGCGGUGAAAUGCGCAGAUACCGGGAGGAACGCCGAUGGCGAAGGCAGCCACCUGGUCCACUUCUGACGCUGAGGCGCGAAAGCGUGGGGAGCAAACCGGAUUAGAGACCCCCGUAGUCCCUGUCUCUUAUAC